GACGAACGCUGGCGGCGUGCCUAAUACAUGCAAGUAGAACGCUGAAGAGAGGAGCUUGCUCUUCUUGGAUGAGUUGCGAACGGGUGAGUAACGCGUAGGUAACCUGCCUUGUAGCGGGGGAUAACUAUUGGAAACGAUAGCUAAUACCGCAUAACAAUGGAUGACACAUGUCAUUUAUUUGAAAGGGGCAAUUGCUCCACUACAAGAUGGACCUGCGUUGUAUUAGCUAGUAGGUGAGGUAACGGCUCACCUAGGCGACGAUACAUAGCCGACCUGAGAGGGUGAUCGGCCACACUGGGACUGAGACACGGCCCAGACUCCUACGGGAGGCAGCAGUAGGGAAUCUUCGGCAAUGGGGGCAACCCUGACCGAGCAACGCCGCGUGAGUGAAGAAGGUUUUCGGAUCGUAAAGCUCUGUUGUAAGUCAAGAACGAGUGUGAGAGUGGAAAGUUCACACUGUGACGGUAGCUUAUCAGAAAGGGACGGCUAACUACGUGCCAGCAGCCGCGGUAAUACGUAGGUCCCGAGCGUUGUCCGGAUUUAUUGGGCGUAAAGCGAGCGCAGGCGGUUUGAUAAGUCUGAAGUUAAAGGCUGUGGCUCAACCAUAGUUCGCUUUGGAAACUGUCAAACUUGAGUGCAGAAGGGGAGAGUGGAAUUCCAUGUGUAGCGGUGAAAUGCGUAGAUAUAUGGAGGAACACCGGUGGCGAAAGCGGCUCUCUGGUCUGUAACUGACGCUGAGGCUCGAAAGCGUGGGGAGCGAACAGGAUUAGAUACCCUGGUAGUCCACGCCGUAAACGAUGAGUGCUAGGUGUUGGAUCCUUUCCGGGAUUCAGUGCCGCAGCUAACGCAUUAAGCACUCCGCCUGGGGAGUACGACCGCAAGGUUGAAACUCAAAGGAAUUGACGGGGGCCCGCACAAGCGGUGGAGCAUGUGGUUUAAUUCGAAGCAACGCGAAGAACCUUACCAGGUCUUGACAUCCCGAUGCUAUUUCUAGAGAUAGAAAGUUACUUCGGUACAUCGGCGACAGGUGGUGCAUGGUUGUCGUCAGCUCGUGUCGUGAGAUGUUGGGUUAAGUCCCGCAACGAGCGCAACCCCUAUUGUUAGUUGCCAUCAUUCAGUUGGGCACUCUAGCGAGACUGCCGGUAAUAAACCGGAGGAAGGUGGGGAUGACGUCAAAUCAUCAUGCCCCUUAUGACCUGGGCUACACACGUGCUACAAUGGUUGGUACAACGAGUUGCGAGUCGGUGACGGCAAGCUAAUCUCUUAAAGCCAAUCUCAGUUCGGAUUGUAGGCUGCAACUCGCCUACAUGAAGUCGGAAUCGCUAGUAAUCGCGGAUCAGCACGCCGCGGUGAAUACGUUCCCGGGCCU
RNAcentral lists this ribosomal RNA (1369 nucleotides) under uncultured bacterium. Its description in RNAcentral is "bacterial SSU rRNA". It matches the Rfam family "Bacterial small subunit ribosomal RNA", at positions 28 to 1381 of the family's 1533-position model. The record is from RNAcentral.